This 207-nucleotide ribosomal RNA is filed under the name uncultured bacterium. RNAcentral's name for it is "partial 16S ribosomal RNA". It matches the Rfam family "Bacterial small subunit ribosomal RNA", at positions 568 to 774 of the family's 1533-position model. The record is from RNAcentral.
CGCGCAGGCGGUCGAUUUAGUCGUGUGUGAAAGCCCCCGGCUCAACUGGGGAGGGUCACGCGAUACUGAUCGACUCGAAGGCAGGAGAGGGAAGUGGAAUUCCCGGUGUAGUGGUGAAAUGCGUAGAUAUCGGGAGGAACACCAGUGGCGAAGGCGACUUCCUGGCCUGUUCUUGACGCUGAGGCGCGAAAGCUAGGGGAGCAAACG